This 1465-nucleotide ribosomal RNA is filed under the name uncultured Bordetella sp. RNAcentral describes it as "partial 16S-23S ribosomal RNA intergenic spacer". It matches the Rfam family "Bacterial small subunit ribosomal RNA". Lineage: Bacteria; Pseudomonadati; Pseudomonadota; Betaproteobacteria; Burkholderiales; Alcaligenaceae. The record is from RNAcentral.
AGUUUGAUUAUGCUCAGAUUGGAAUGCUGGCGGGAUGCUUUGUAUACACAAGUCGAACGGCAGCAUGGACUUCGGUCUGGUGGCGAGUGGCGAACGGGUGAGUAAUGUAUCGGAACGUGCCUAGUAUGGGGAUAACUACGCGAAAGGUAGCUAAUACUGCAUGCCCUUCUUCGGGGGAAAGUGGGGGGACCUUCGGGCCUCGCAAUUAUUAGAGCGGCUGAUAUCGGAUUAGCUAGUUGGUAGGGGUACUGGCCCGCCUGGCGGCGACGAUCCGUAGCUGGUUUGAGAGGACGACCAGCCACACCGUAAUUGAGACACGGCCUAGACUCAUGGAGGCAGCAGUGGGGAAUUUUGGACAAUGGGGGAAACCUCCUGAUCCAGCCAUCCCGCGUGUGCGAUGAAGGCCUUCGGGUUGUAAAGCACUUUUGGCAGGAAGAAACGGCAUCGAUACCCUGUGCAACUGACGUACCUGCAGAAUAAGCACCGGCUAACUACGCCAGCAGCCGCGGUAAUAUUGUAGGCAAGCAAGUAAUCGGAAUUACUGGGCGCAGCGUGCGCAGGCGGUUCGAAAGAAAGAUGGGAAAUCCCAGAGCUUAACUUUGGAACUGCAUUUUUAACUACCGAGCUAGAGUGUGUCAGAGGGAGGUGGAAUUCCGCGUGUAGCAGUGAAUGCGUAGAUAUGCGGAGGAACACCGAUGGCGAAGGCAGCAGCCUCCUGGGAUAACACUGACGCUCAUGCACGAAAGCGUGGGGAGCAAACAGGAUUAGUAUUACCUCUGGUAGUCCACGCCCUAAAACGAUGUCAACUAGCUGUUGGGGCUUUCGGGCCUUUGGUAGCGCAGCUAACGCGUGAAGUUGACCGCCUGGGGAGUACGGUCGCAAGAUUAAAACUCAAAGCCGAAUUGACGGGACCCGCACAAGCGGUGGAUGAUGUGGAUUAAUUCGAUGCAACGCGAAAAACCUUACCUACCCUUGACAUGUCUGGAACUGAAGAUUUCAGGAGUGCUCGCAAGAGAACCGGAACACAGGUGCUGCAUGGCUGUCGUCACCGUGUCGCAGAGCAUAAGUCCCGCAAACGAGCGCAACCCUGUCAUUAGUUGCUACGAAAGGGCACCUAAUGAGACUGCCGGCGACAAACUGGAGGAAGGUGAUGACGUCGUCCUCAAAGGCCUUUAUGUGGGCUCACACGUCAUACAGUUUGCCCGGACAGAGGGUCGCCAACCCGCGUAGGGAGCCAAUCCCAGAAACCCGAUCGUAGUCCGGAUCGCAGUCUGCAAACUGACUGCGUGAAGUCGGAAUCGCUAGUAAUCGCGGAUCAGCAAUGUCGCGUGAAUACGUUCCCGGUCUUGUACACACCGCCCGUCACACCAUGGGAGUGGGUUUUACCAGAAGUAGUUACCUAACCGUAAGGAGGUGGCGAUUACCACGGUAGGAUUCACAUCAAAGUGAAGUCGUAACAAGGUAA